This 30-nucleotide small nuclear RNA is filed under the name Cervus elaphus hippelaphus. The record is from RNAcentral. Lineage: Eukaryota; Metazoa; Chordata; Mammalia; Artiodactyla; Cervidae.
AGAUUAGCAUGGCCCCUGUGCAAGGAUGAC